UCCCAGUGAGGAAACACUCGCAUGUCUUACCUCCUGUCCUCGUCCCAGAGCCUGUGAAGGUGAACCCACUGGGGCGGCUGGGGGAGAAGAGGAAGGUUUGUUCCAGAAGGAACUGUCUGAGGGAU
Eptesicus fuscus (big brown bat) is the source of this 125-nucleotide small nucleolar RNA. RefSeq annotates it as small nucleolar RNA SNORD22. The transcript has a single exon. The record is from RefSeq and is a predicted model, not a curated record. NCBI's taxonomy places the organism in Eukaryota, Metazoa, Chordata, Mammalia, Chiroptera, Vespertilionidae.